UCCGGUUUGUCACCGGCAGUCCCAUUAGAGUGCCCAACUCAAUGUAGCAACUAAUGGCAAGGGUUGCGCUCGUUGCGGGACUUAACCCAACAUCUCACGACACGAGCUGUCGACAGCCAUGCAGCACCUGUGUCCCUCCCACCCGAAGUGAAGAAUCCCAUCUCUGAGAUCCAUAGAGGGCAUGUCAAGGCCUGGUAAGGUUCUUCGCGUUGCGACGAAUUAAACCACAUACUCCACCGCUUGUGCGGGUCCCCGUCAAUUCCUUUGAGUUUUAACCUUGCGGCCGUACUUCCCAGGCGGUGUGCUUAACGCGUUAGCUUCGUCACCGAAGGGGAACCCCCCAGCGACAAACACACAUCGUUUACGGCGUGGACUAC
This 377-nucleotide unclassified non-coding RNA is filed under the name uncultured Rhodospirillales bacterium. Its description in RNAcentral is "contains 16S-23S intergenic spacer region". The record is from RNAcentral. Lineage: Bacteria; Pseudomonadati; Pseudomonadota; Alphaproteobacteria; Rhodospirillales.